Molecule: ribosomal RNA, 446 nt
Filed under: uncultured bacterium
Lineage: Bacteria
Description: partial 16S ribosomal RNA
Rfam family: Bacterial small subunit ribosomal RNA
Source: RNAcentral
CCUACGGGUGGCAGCAGUAGAGAAUCAUUCACAAUGGGGGAAAGCCUGAUGGAGCGACGCCGCGUGGGGGAAUGAAGGUCUACGGAUUGUAAACCCCUGUCAUGUGGGAGCAAAUUAAAAAGAGAGUACCACAAGAGGAAGAGACGGAUAACUCUGUGCGAGCAGCCGCGGUAAUACAGAGGUCUCAAGCGUUGUUCGGAAUCACUGGGCGUAAAGCGUGCGUAGGCGGUUUCGUAAGUCGGGUGUGAAAGGCGCGGGCUCAACCCGCGAAUGGCACUUGAUACUGCGAGACUAGAGUAAAGGAGAGGGAAGUGGAAUUCUCGGUGUAGCCGUGAAAUGCGUAGAUAUCUGGAAGAACACUCGUGGCGAAGGCGGCUUCCUGGACAUUAACUGACGCUGAGGCACGAAAGCCAGGGUAGCGAACAGGAUUAGAUACCCCAGUAGUC